AUUGAACGCUGGCGGCAGGCCUAACACAUGCAAGUCGAGCGGAUGAAGGGAGCUUGCUCCUGGAUUCAGCGGCGGACGGGUGAGUAAUGCCUAGGAAUCUGCCUGGUAGUGGGGGAUAACGUCCGGAAACGGGCGCUAAUACCGCAUACGUCCUGAGGGAGAAAGUGGGGGAUCUUCGGACCUCACGCUAACAGAUGAGCCUAGGUCGGAUUAGCUAGUUGGUGGGGUAAAGGCCUACCAAGGCGACGAUCCGUAACUGGUCUGAGAGGAUGAUCAGUCACACUGGAACUGAGACACGGUCCAGACUCCUACGGGAGGCAGCAGUGGGGAAUAUUGGACAAUGGGCGAAAGCCUGAUCCAGCCAUGCCGCGUGUGUGAAGAAGGUCUUCGGAUUGUAAAGCACUUUAAGUUGGGAGGAAGGGCAGUAAGUUAAUACCUUGCUGUUUUGACGUUACCAACAGAAUAAGCACCGGCUAACUUCGUG
This 484-nucleotide ribosomal RNA is filed under the name uncultured bacterium. Its description in RNAcentral is "partial 16S ribosomal RNA". It matches the Rfam family "Bacterial small subunit ribosomal RNA", at positions 30 to 507 of the family's 1533-position model. The record is from RNAcentral.